AGUCAAUAGAUACCCAGGUAGUCCACGCCGUAAACGAUGCGCACUAGACCGGUGCGGUUUUGACGCCGUAUCGGUCGUAGUAAAAAAAACGAUAAGUGCGCCGCCUGGGGAGUACGGUCGCAAGGCUAAAACUCAAAUGAAUUGACGGGGGCGUCACACAAGCGGUGGAGCAUGUUGCUUAAUUCGAGGCAACGCGAAGAACCUUACCUGGGUUUGUACAUGCUGGGACGUAACUCCAUGAAAGUGGAGCCACAGUCGCAAGACCGGAACCAGCACAGGUGCUGCAUGGCUGUCGUCAGCUCGUGCUGUGAAGUGUCAGGUUAAGUCCUUUAACGAGCGCAACCCCUAUCGUUAGUUGCUCGGCGCAAGCCAGUACUCUAGCGAGACUGCCGUCGUCAAGACGGAGGAAGGUGGGGAUGACGUCAGGUCCUCAUGGCCCUUACAUCCAGGGUUGCAAACGUGCUACAAUGGCGCGCACAAAGCGACGCAAGGCCGCGAGGCGGAGCAAACUCGCAAAAAAACCGCGCCCCGA
This 532-nucleotide ribosomal RNA is filed under the name uncultured bacterium. Its description in RNAcentral is "bacterial SSU rRNA". It matches the Rfam family "Bacterial small subunit ribosomal RNA", at positions 775 to 1291 of the family's 1533-position model. The record is from RNAcentral.